GACGAACCGUGCGAACGUUAUUCGGAAUCACUGGGCUUAAAGCGCGUGUAGGCGGGACGGCACGUCGGUCGCUGAAAUCCCCCGGCUCAACCGGGGAACGGGCGCCGAUACGACCGCCCUGGAGGGACGUAGGGGGACCUGGAACUUCCGGUGGAGCGGUGAAAUGCGUUGAGAUCGGAAGGAACGCCCGUGGCGAAAGCGAGGUCCUGGACGUCUGCUGACGCUGAGACGCGAAAGCCAGGGGAGCGAACGGG
This 254-nucleotide ribosomal RNA is filed under the name uncultured bacterium. Its description in RNAcentral is "partial 16S ribosomal RNA". It matches the Rfam family "Bacterial small subunit ribosomal RNA", at positions 524 to 776 of the family's 1533-position model. The record is from RNAcentral.